Molecule: ribosomal RNA, 301 nt
Filed under: uncultured bacterium
Lineage: Bacteria
Description: partial 16S ribosomal RNA
Rfam family: Bacterial small subunit ribosomal RNA
Source: RNAcentral
CAGCCGCCGCGGUAAUACGUGGGUGGCAAGCGUUGUCCGGAAUUAUUGGGCGUAAAGGGCUCGCAGGCGGUUUCUUAAGUCUGAUGUGAAAGCCCCCGGCUCAACCGGGGAGGGUCAUUGGAAACUGGGAAACUUGAGUGCAGAAGAGGAGAGUGGAAUUCCACGUGUAGCGGUGAAAUGCGUAGAGGUGUGGAGGGACACCAGUGGCGAAGGCGACUCUCUGGUCUGUAACUGACGCUGAGGAGCGAAAGCGUGGGGAGCGAACAGGAUUAGAUACCCCCGUAGUCCCUGUCUCUUAUAC